Molecule: non-coding RNA, 72 nt
Organism: Halocaridina rubra (Hawaiian volcano shrimp)
Lineage: Eukaryota; Metazoa; Arthropoda; Malacostraca; Decapoda; Atyidae
Source: the annotation of a GenBank genome assembly
ACCUUCUGUGGCCUAGUGGUAGCGCCUAGAAUUCGUAAUCAUAAGUCCUAGGUUCGAAUCCCGGUCGGGGUA